UGUCUUUUCACAUCACCGACCCAACCAUUAAUGAUAGCAGGUUUUCAAUAAUGACUUUUAAUUUUUUCUACUACCUCUUCUCAAAAGCUUUCAUUUUCCCUUUCAUUCAAUCCGGAUACCUUGGCCGAAAAUUCUCCAGUGCUUGACGAACACAUUCUGGAAUUCCUCCCACCAAGUAAUAACUUUCUCUCUUCUUUAGGGCCUCAUUUGCAAUAACAUGGGCGUAUAUAUUCCCUAUUUUUGAGACAAAAUGAAACUCAAUCUCCUGAAAUCUGUCUUUUUUGCUUUGUAUAUCUUUGGUAAUUGCUCCAAUGGCCGAUUUACCUAUAUCAGUACUUUGGCAUUUCUUUAUAACAGUUUUUGAAUCUCCCACUACUUCCAUUUUGUUAAAGCCCAUAAAAAUUCCUAAUUUCAUUGCCUGUAACCCUACAUGUGCCUCUGCCGUGAACGGAGUUGCUAUCUCGGAGUGAAAAACAGUCUUUGAUGCUAGGAUCUCCCCCACUUCAUUUCGUACAAGCAGGCCUGUAGUUGAUCUGGAAGAUUGAUGGUCAAAGGCUGCGUCAAAAAGAACUGUGACCCUUGUUCUUUGAUAAUCCUGUUGAAUAUUUCCAUCAGACUGAAGGAUUAACCAGAGUCCACAGCAGAAUAAUCGGAUCUGUUCAUUAGUCUCCUUACAUAAGCCCCAGGGCACUAUUGAAAAAUAUGGCUAUUGUCUUCCUCAUUUUGACGACAUUGAGGGCACUGAUCUUCCACCACGACUCUUUUAUGUCUGAGGUUAACAAGGGACAGAAUAAAGUUCCAAGAGAUUCUCCAUACUGUAAUUAUAAUUUUUGAGGGGAUGUAUAAUUUCCACAGUUUCCUAUAGAAAUUUUUAGUUCGGCGUGUAAACUAUAACUACUAGGAUCGAAGUUAGUCUCUUGUAAUAGUUUAUAGGUGCUCCUGACUUAGAAAUCCCUGGACAGUUCCCUUCUCCAUACUUGAAAAUCUUCAUGUGUUGUCUCCGCCAGUGGAAUCUGCAAGAUUUUUUUUGCUACAUCCAAUCGAAAGAAAUUUGAUCACCUCUCUCAACCCUCUAGCAUAAACCUUUCUCCAGAAGCCCUCUUGCUGCCCAGACACUCUUCCAGGUAAGCGAAGAUCAAAAAAUACAAAAUCCGGGGCUAGACCGGGGGAAGGCUAAGCUAGUAGACUAAAUCCAACUAGUCACCCACUUUUUGUAUACUGAGUGCCCCCAAGCUAGCAUCGGGAAUCAAGGGACGUCAGAGGCAUUAGUCACAUUAUCACCUGAAGCUUUUGGUAUAGUUAGUUUAAAUGUUUUGAGUGUGGCAAGUAAAGGGACUUAUUUUUUUUGUUUAGUGUCAUUUAGUUUAGCCACAAGUGUUGGCUUAUAUGGAUGUAAUAUUCAUUUUGUAUAGGCCAUUGAUAUUGGCUAAUAUUGAUUACUAUUAAAUCUAUUUGAUGAAAAUUCUCAUGGA
Molecule: long non-coding RNA, 1472 nt
Organism: Gossypium arboreum
Lineage: Eukaryota; Viridiplantae; Streptophyta; Magnoliopsida; Malvales; Malvaceae
Exons: 6
Source: RefSeq, a predicted model, not a curated record